This 150-nucleotide non-coding RNA is filed under the name Gongylonema pulchrum. RNAcentral describes it as "Eukaryotic large subunit ribosomal RNA". It matches the Rfam family "Eukaryotic large subunit ribosomal RNA", at positions 1 to 158 of the family's 3401-position model. Lineage: Eukaryota; Metazoa; Nematoda; Chromadorea; Rhabditida; Gongylonematidae. The record is from Rfam by way of RNAcentral.
UAACCUCAGCUCAGUGAUGAAUACCCGUUGAAUUUAAACAUAAAACUGGUCGCAGGAAAAGGAACUAACGAGGACUGCCCCAGUAACGCGGAAAAGCUCAGCGCUAAAUUCUUUUAGCCGUUGUCUCUAAGGAACUGUAGUGUGUAGACG